UUCAUCCAUCAUCAUGUGUCAGAGCCAUUCUUCCUGUUUCAGUCUUGCAAUGCACCUGUUUUUUAUUUUGUUUGGUUUUUUUAUUUCCAGAUGCCUCUGCAUGGACUUGAAGCUGUUGUCCAGGAGGAGAUUCUGACCCAGGAGACACAGCUGACCUCACCUUGAUAUUGACCUGCAGGUCCUUUCAUUGUGUCUGACCCAGUUUUCAGGAAGAAGACUCACUUUGCUUGGCUGGACGAUCAACUGGGGUAAAUUUUCAGAGUCAUUCCAGGCAGAAAACCGGAUUCCUCUUGCUGUUGUAACGUGUUCUUCCUGCCACCGGUGAUAUAAAGACUGUGGGCUUCACCGGCAGUGGAAGACCAGGAGAGAUCCCUCCUUCUUACUGUGAUGGGUCAUCUGGACCCUGACCUGAAUGUCAACACUGAAUGCAAGGAGAAUAUUAGUUGCUUUCCACAAUCUGUCACACAUUGUUGUCAGUUUUUUUUCGUGACAUGUCAUUUUAAAUAGUUUCUGCUAAAGCACAUUUACCUUUUGACUUGUGCAGUCAUCCUUUUUCAUAAUUUGUUCUUUCAAUAUUAUGUACAUUUUUGAAAGUUUCUUUUGUUGUAGCUCAGUUGAUUUACAUCAUUUAGUUUUCAUAGAAAUGGUGUCGUUUCCACAUAAAGUUACUUUUUGGCUGUAAUUUGUUGGAGAGACAGUGGAACCAAUAAAGUAGUUGUAAAUAUA
Molecule: long non-coding RNA, 726 nt
Organism: Gambusia affinis (western mosquitofish)
Lineage: Eukaryota; Metazoa; Chordata; Actinopteri; Cyprinodontiformes; Poeciliidae
Exons: 2
Source: RefSeq, a predicted model, not a curated record